This 429-nucleotide ribosomal RNA is filed under the name Bacteroidota bacterium. RNAcentral describes it as "Bacteroidetes bacterium partial 16S ribosomal RNA". It matches the Rfam family "Bacterial small subunit ribosomal RNA", at positions 355 to 776 of the family's 1533-position model. The record is from RNAcentral. Lineage: Bacteria; Pseudomonadati; Bacteroidota.
UAGGGAAUCUUCCGCAAUGGACGCAAGUCUGACGGAGCAACGCCGCGUGAGUGAAGAAGGAUUUCGGUUCGUAAAACUCUGUUGUUAGAGAAGAACAGCGCAUAGAGUAACUGUUAUGCGUGUGACGGUAUCUAACCAGAAAGCCACGGCUAACUACGUGCCAGCAGCCGCGGUAAUACGUAGGUGGCAAUCGUUGUCCGGAUUUAUUGGGCGUAAAGCGAGCGCAGGCGGUCAAUUAAGUCUGAUGUGAAAGCCGCCGGUUCAACCGGGGAGGGUCAUUGGAAACUGGUUGACUUGAGUGCAGAAGAGGUGAGUGGAAUUCCGUGUGUAGCGGUGGAAUGCGUAGUUAUAUGGAGGAACACCAGUGGCGAAGGCGACUCUCUGGUCUGUAACUGACGCUGAGGUUCGAACGCGUGGGUAGCAAACAGG